AAAAUGUUCAUUGUAGAGGGAAAAUGCCAUUGAAUUGUUGGAAGAUGUAGGCUGCGUGCUUUAUUUUGAAGCCACACUUAUAGUGUAGCGGGAAGAAAUACUUCCUCUUGUUUGUGAGAUUCCUGGUGGAAGCUACAUAUUUUGUUCUCCUCCACUUGUUUUCAUUGUCUUGUUGUAGAAUGUGAAUAUCAGUUAGUUUAAAACAUUUGCAAAGCAGGUUUAGUCACAGAGGCACGGUGUUGAAUGUGUUUCAUUAAUUUCAAACAUUAACUCACUGGCUGGAGAAGUGGAGACGUUGUCGAGGUCCGUGUGCGUCGUUGGGCGACCAUGUAUAUUGUGCGGUGUGAAUGAGAGUUACCAGAAGCUGCAUGGUGACCGUGUUCUUGAUCUUGCAGAGUUUUGACAGGCGGUGCUAAAAAGCUGCAUGUGACACGAGAGCCACGGGUCGUCCAAUCCUGGUCGAGUGGCGUGAUUAAAAAAAAAAUGUCAACAGGAUGGUGUGUAAAGUACCACAAACCAGAAAAGUCAGACAUUUGGAUUCACACGAGUAUGAAAUGGAUUCCCUCAGGAAAAUAAAAUUUGCCACAACUGCCAGAGGGCAAACAUGCAGUAGGGGGCAGGUGCGUUUACACAUUAAAUAAAAACCAGACAAGAAUGAAAGUCACUGAUGGUGUCGUGGUACACACACCUGACUUGGGUGUGGGCAGCGUAGGUUUGAUUCCUGCUCAGUGAUGGUGUCAAUUAUGUCCCCUGUGACUGACUGGCAACCAGUUCAUCGUGUGCACUGCCAUUCAGAGUGAGAGCAUGCACAAAUCCUAACAAUGACUCGACCGACUAUCAAGAAUAAACCCACAAUGCAUUGCACAGUUAACAUGCCAGUCGUGUAUCCCUUUCCCAGGCAACAGAAUCCGAUAUUCUCCCCGGGGGACUAGCGGUUCAGAACCACAAACAAAAAAGAAUUUGCAUGAUCUCCGUGUGGGUUUUCUCCGGCCACUUUGUUUUCCUUCCAUGCCAUGAAAACAUCAGUGGUAGAUUGACAAGAAGAGUUAUCAUCAUCAUCAUCAUCUACCCUUCUUCCCUUUUUAAGUAUUCACUGAUUUAUUCAUAAAAGAUGAAAACAUUUCAACCUGAAUGAAAGGAGAGUGUAAAUGAAGUGCGCAGUGCUGUACCUGAAUGGCUUUAAUGCUGAA
Syngnathoides biaculeatus (alligator pipefish) is the source of this 1190-nucleotide long non-coding RNA. RefSeq lists it as uncharacterized. The transcript has 3 exons. The record is from RefSeq and is a predicted model, not a curated record. NCBI's taxonomy places the organism in Eukaryota, Metazoa, Chordata, Actinopteri, Syngnathiformes, Syngnathidae.